This 491-nucleotide ribosomal RNA is filed under the name uncultured bacterium. RNAcentral describes it as "partial 16S ribosomal RNA". It matches the Rfam family "Bacterial small subunit ribosomal RNA", at positions 29 to 507 of the family's 1533-position model. The record is from RNAcentral.
AGUGAACGCUGGCGGUAGGCCUAACACAUGCAAGUCGAACGGCAGCACAGUAAGAGCUUGCUCUUACGGGUGGCGAGUGGCGGACGGGUGAGGAAUACAUCGGAAUCUACUUUUUCGUGGGGGAUAACGUAGGGAAACUUACGCUAAUACCGUAUACGACCUACGGGUGAAAGCAGGGGAUCUUCGGACCUUGCGCGAUUGAAUGAGCCGAUGUCGGAUUAGCUAGUUGGCGGGGUAAAGGCCCACCAAGGCGACGAUCCGUAGCUGGUCUGAGAGGAUGAUCAGCCACACUGGAACUGAGACACGGUCCAGACUCCUACGGGAGGCAGCAGUGGGAAUAUUGGACAAUGGGCGCAAGCCUGAUCCAGCCAUACCGCGUGGGUGAAGAAGGCCUUCGGGUUGUAAAGCCCUUUUGUUGGGAAAGAAAAGCAGCAGGUUAAUACCCCGCUGUUCUGACGGUACCCAAAGAAUAAGCACCGGCUAACUUCGUG